Molecule: ribosomal RNA, 398 nt
Filed under: uncultured bacterium
Lineage: Bacteria
Description: bacterial SSU rRNA
Rfam family: Bacterial small subunit ribosomal RNA
Source: RNAcentral
GAUGAACGCUAGCGGCAGGCCUAAUACAUGCAAGUCGAACGGUAAGGCCCUUUCGGGGGUACACGAGUGGCGGACGGGUGCGUAACGCGUAUGCAACAUGCCUUCCAGCGGGGGAUAUACCAGGGAAACUUGGCGCAAUACCCCAUAGAAUUACGGGACCGCAUGGUCUUGUGAUUAAAACUCCGGUGCUGGGAGAUUGGCAUGCGUGACAUUAGCUAGUUGGCGGGGUAACGGCCCACCAAGGCGACGAUGUCUAGCUGGUCUGAGAGGAUGAUCAGCCACACUGGGACUGAGACACGGCCCAGACUCCUACGGGAGGCAGCAGUGGGGAAUUUUGGACAAUGGGCGGAAGCCUGAUCCAGCCAUGCCGCGUGAGUGAAGAAGGCCUCGGUUGUAAG